AGUUGUAAUUUGCAGAGGAUGUUUCUGGCGCGCUGCCUUCCGAGUUCCCUGGAACGGGACGCCAUAGAGGGUGAGAGCCCCGUAUGGUUGGAUACCAAGCCUGUGUGAAACUCCUUCGACGAGUCGAGUAGUUUGGGAAUGCUGCUCAAAAUGGGAGGUAAAUCUCUUCUAAAGCUAAAUAUUGGCCAGAGACCGAUAGCGCACAAGUAGAGUGAUCGAAAGAUGAAAAGCACCUUGAAAAGGGGGUUAAACAGUACGUGAAAUGUUGAAAGGGAAGCGCUCAUGACCAGACUUGUGCUGGGCAGCUCAUCCGGGGUUCUCCCCGGUGCAUUCUGCCCAGUUCAGGCCAGCAUCGAUUUUUGCUGGGGGAUAAGAACGGUAGGAACGUGGCCCUCCUUCGGGAGGGUGUUAUAGCCUACCGUACGAUACCCUAGCGGAGAUCGAGGUUCGCGCAUCUGCAAGGAUGCUGGCGUAAUGGUCAUCAGCGACCCGUCUUGAAACACGGACCAAGGAGUCGUCCAUUAGAGCGAGCGUUUGGGUGUAAAACCCGCACGCGUAAUGAAAGUGAAAUUAGGUGAGAGCUUCGGCGCAUCAUCGACCGAUCCUGAUGUUCUCGGAUGGAUUUGAGUAAGAGUUUUAACGGACGGACCCGAAAGACAGUGAACUAUGCUUGUAUAGGGUGAAGCCAGAGGAAACUCUGGUGGAGGCUCGCAGCGGUUCUGACGUGCAAAUCGAUCGUCAAAUAUGAGCAUGGGGGCGAAAGACUAAUCGAACUGUCUAGUAGCUGGUUACCGCCGAAGUUUCCCUCAGGAUAGCAGUGUUGACCUUCAGUUUUAUGAGGUAAAGCGAAUGAUUAGGGACUCGGGGGCGCUUUUUAGCCUUCAUCCAUUCUCAAACUUUAAAUAUGUAAGAAGCCCUUGUUACUUAGUUGAACGUGGGCAUUCGAAUGUAUCAACACUAGUGGGCCAUUUUUGGUAAGCAGAACUGGCGAUGCGGGAUGAACCGAACGCGGGGUUAAGGCGCCAGAGUGUACGCUCAUCAGACACCACAAAAGGCGUUAGUACAUCUUGACAGCAGGACGGUGGCCAUGGAAGUCGGAAUCCGCUAAGGACUGUGUAAC
Molecule: ribosomal RNA, 1120 nt
Filed under: Coniella vitis
Lineage: Eukaryota; Fungi; Ascomycota; Sordariomycetes; Diaporthales; Schizoparmaceae
Description: eukaryotic LSU rRNA
Rfam family: Eukaryotic large subunit ribosomal RNA
Source: RNAcentral